UACUGCAAGUUCGAGCCGGACAGUAUGGGAGCUUGCUCCCUGAUGUUAGCGGCGGACGGGUGAGUAACACGUGGGUAACCUGCCUGUAAGACUGGGAUAACUCCGGGAAACCGGGGCUAAUACCGGAUGCUUGUUUGAACCGCAUGGUUCAAACAUAAAAGGUGGCUUCGGCUACCACUUACAGAUGGACCCGCGGCGCAUUAGCUAGUUGGUGAGGUAAUGGCUCACCAAGGCAACGAUGCGUAGCCGACCUGAGAGGGUGAUCGGCCACACUGGGACUGAGACACGGCCCAGACUCCUACGGGAGGCAGCAGUAGGGAAUCUUCCGCAAUGGACGAAAGUCUGACGGAGCAACGCCGCGUGAGUGAUGAAGGUUUUCGGAUCGUAAAGCUCUGUUGUUAGGGAAGAACAAGUACCGUUCGAAUAGGGCGGUACCUUGACGGUACCUAACCAGAAAGCCACGGCUAACUACGUGCCAGCAGCCGCGGUAAUACGUAGGUGGCAAGCGUUGUCCGGAAUUAUUGGGCGUAAAGGGCUCGCAGGCGGUUCCUUAAGUCUGAUGUGAAAGCCCCCGGCUCAACCGGGGAGGGUCAUUGGAAACUGGGGAACUUGAGUGCAGAAGAGGAGAGUGGAAUUCCACGUGUAGCGGUGAAAUGCGUAGAGAUGUGGAGGAACACCAGUGGCGAAGGCGACUCUCUGGUCUGUCUG
This 708-nucleotide ribosomal RNA is filed under the name Bacillus tequilensis. Its description in RNAcentral is "bacterial SSU rRNA". It matches the Rfam family "Bacterial small subunit ribosomal RNA", at positions 52 to 742 of the family's 1533-position model. The record is from RNAcentral. Lineage: Bacteria; Bacillati; Bacillota; Bacilli; Caryophanales; Bacillaceae.